Molecule: ribosomal RNA, 549 nt
Filed under: uncultured bacterium
Lineage: Bacteria
Description: bacterial SSU rRNA
Rfam family: Bacterial small subunit ribosomal RNA
Source: RNAcentral
AGGGAAUCUUCCGCAAUGGGCGAAAGCCUGACGGAGCAACGCCGCGUGAGUGAUGAAGGUCUUCGGAUCGUAAAACUCUGUUAUUAGGGAAGAACAAAUGUGUAAGUAACUAUGCACGUCUUGACGGUACCUAAUCAGAAAGCCACGGCUAACUACGUGCCAGCAGCCGCGGUAAUACGUAGGUGGCAAGCGUUAUCCGGAAUUAUUGGGCGUAAAGCGCGCGUAGGCGGUUUUUUAAGUCUGAUGUGAAAGCCCACGGCUCAACCGUGGAGGGUCAUUGGAAACUGGAAAACUUGAGUGCAGAAGAGGAAAGUGGAAUUCCAUGUGUAGCGGUGAAAUGCGCAGAGAUAUGGAGGAACACCAGUGGCGAAGGCGACUUUCUGGUCUGUAACUGACGCUGAUGUGCGAAAGCGUGGGGAUCAAACAGGAUUAGAUACCCUGGUAGUCCACGCCAUAAACGAUGAGUGCUAAGUGUUAGGGGGUUUCCGCCCCUUAGUGCUGCAGCUAACGCAUUAAGCACUCCGCCUGGGGAGUACGACCGCAAGGUUG